CCUACGGGAGGCAGCAGUGGGGAAUAUUGCACAAUGGGGGAAACCCUGAUGCAGCGACGCCGCGUGAGUGAAGAAGUCUUUCCGUAUGUAAAGCUCUAUCAGCAGGGAAGAAAAUGACGGUACCUGAUUACUAAGCCCCAGCUACCUACGUGACAGCAGCCGCGGUCAUACGUAGGGGACCAGCGUUAUCCGGAUUUACUGGGUGUAAAGGGAGCGUAGACGGCAGCACAAGUCUGGAGUGAAAUGCCGGGGCUUAACCCCGGAACUGCUUUGGAAACUGUGCAGCUAGAGUGCAGGAGAGGUAAGUGGAAUGCCUAGUGUAGCGGUGAAAUGCGUAGAUAUUAGGAGGAACACCAGUGGCGAAGGUGGCGUACUGGACUGUAACUGACGUUGAGGCUCGAAAGCGUGGGGAGCAAACAGGAUUAGAUACCCGGGUAGUC
Molecule: ribosomal RNA, 440 nt
Filed under: uncultured bacterium
Lineage: Bacteria
Description: partial 16S ribosomal RNA
Rfam family: Bacterial small subunit ribosomal RNA
Source: RNAcentral